UCGACUACAUGAAGCUGGAAUCGCUAGUAAUCGCGGAUCAGAAUGCCGCGGUGAAUACGUUCCCGGGUCUUGUACACACCGCCCGUCACACCAUGGGAGUCAGUAACGCCCGAAGCCGGUGACCCAACCUAUUCUGGAGGGAGCCGUCGAAGGCGGGACGGAUGACUGGGGUGAAGUCGUAACAAGGUAUC
Molecule: ribosomal RNA, 191 nt
Filed under: uncultured bacterium
Lineage: Bacteria
Description: partial 16S ribosomal RNA
Rfam family: Bacterial small subunit ribosomal RNA
Source: RNAcentral